CUCCCAGGCUCAAGUGAUCCUCUCAUGUCUGCCUACCAAGUAGCUGGGACCACAGGCAUGCGCCACCACAUCCAGCUAAUUUUUUGAUUUUUUUUUUGUAGAGACAAAAAAAAGUGUUGUCCAGGCUGGUCUCGAACUCCUGGGCUCAAGCAGUCCUCUUGCCCCGGCCUGCCAAGUAGCUGGAACUAUAGGCGUGUGCCCCACACCCGGCAGGCAUGGGGUUUCAGGCAGCAGAGGGUGGCAGGAUCGGCUGCUCUGAUCCAAGAGGCUCCCGGCUCUCCCCCAGCUGGGGUCUUAGGGGGCUGUAGUGCAUGUCCACUCUACAAAUGGCAGGGGGGGUGGAGGUGGCUGUGCCUACGCUGAGCUCCUUUGUAGCCUCUCCUUUCUCCCUCUCCAGGGAAGAGGACCCAGAUGAUGUGCCCCAUGGACAUAUCACCUCAUUGGCUGUGAAGCGUUCCCACCGGCGCCUUGGUCUGGCUCAGAAACUGAUGGACCAGGCCUCUCGAGCCAUGAUAGAGAACUUCAAUGCCAAAUACGUCUCCCUGCAUGUCAGGAAGAGUAACCGGGCCGCCCUGCACCUCUAUUCCAACACCCUCAACUUUCAGAUCAGUGAAGUGGAGCCCAAAUACUAUGCAGAUGGGGAGGAUGCCUAUGCCAUGAAGCGGGACCUCACUCAGAUGGCCGACGAGCUGAGGCGGCACCUGGAGCUGAAAGAGAAGGGCAGGCACGUGGUGCUGGGUGCCAUCGAGAACAAGGUGGAGAGCAAAGGCAAUUCACCUCCGAGCUCAGGAGAGGCCUGUCGCGAGGAGAAGGGCCUGGCUGCCGAGGAUAGUGGUGGGGACAGCAAGGACCUCAGCGAGGUCAGCGAGACC
Molecule: small RNA, 872 nt
Filed under: Pan troglodytes (chimpanzee)
Lineage: Eukaryota; Metazoa; Chordata; Mammalia; Primates; Hominidae
Description: retained intron
Source: RNAcentral